GCUGCAGGUGCACUAGCCCCCCUGUACUGCAUAGUGUCUCAGCGCUCCACGUGACAGCACACCACAUGAUGUCCUAUGUGCCGACCUCACUACCUCAAUCUUAUGCAGCCGAGUGUGAACUCAUCUCCAUGAGGGCUGCCCAGACAGCCGAGUGACUGAUCCUGCAGUGCUGCUGACUGGUGAUCGGGAUGUCAGGUCCUGCUGGCUGCUACUGAUUACCGAGCCUCAGAUAGUGCUCCCAUAAAAGCUUCACAGAUUCCAAUGCAUGAUUAUCAUACAUAGAACCCCAGAAUAUGAUCCCUUUCACUUGAUGUAAUUCCCCCAUACAAGUCUCUUUGAUUAAUUCAAUAGUUAAGAGGGAGGCUGAGAACACAGGAAAUACGAACCUCAUCUGAUCUGUUUGUCUGCACUACACUGUUUGAUCGGAAAGUGUUCUACAGAGUAAUAGAAAUAGUUAUGAUCAAAACACAGCUGCAGAGGAGUUUUGUUGCAUCCAAGACUGGUACAAAUCCAUAGGAUAACCUAACCUAUCGCCUUCACAAAGCAUCACCUCUCCCAACACAAAGCCCAUCUGUGUCUGUGGCUGCCGUUAUGUGUAGUAUGACAUGAAGACAUUGAAAUCACUAGAUGUGUGACAUUAUGUUACUCAUUCAGUGUUUUAGGGUUCUUUACCCACUAGCACUCUGGACAAUGACCUAUUGUUAAUCAUGCUCUUGGAUUAGAAAGUUAUGUAAAUAUGUAAUGACCCCAGUAUAUGUAGACAACACUUUUGUAAUCCUGAACUUGAAAAUGUUAUUAUAAUAAAAUACAUGCAGUCAAA
Long non-coding RNA from Pseudophryne corroboree (corroboree frog), 820 nucleotides. RefSeq lists it as uncharacterized. The transcript has 3 exons. NCBI's taxonomy places the organism in Eukaryota, Metazoa, Chordata, Amphibia, Anura, Myobatrachidae. The record is from RefSeq and is a predicted model, not a curated record.